GGCCAGACUCCUACGGGAGGCAGCAGUGAGGAAUAUUGGUCAAUGGGCGGGAGCCUGAACCAGCCAAGUCGCGUGAAGGAUGAAGGAUCUAUGGUUUGUAAACUUCUUUUAUAUGGGAAUAAAGUGAGGAACGUGUUCCUUUUUGUAUGUACCAUAUGAAUAAGCAUCGGCUAACUCCGUGCCAGCAGCCGCGGUAAUACGGAGGAUGCGAGCGUUAUCCGGAUUUAUUGGGUUUAAAGGGUGCGUAGGUGGUUAAUUAAGUCAGCGGUGAAAGUUUGUGGCUCAACCCCGUACUGCCGUUGAAACUGCAUCCCUUGAGUGCGCGAGAAGUAUGCGGAAUGCGUGGUGUAGCGGUGAAAUGCAUAGAUAUCACGCAGAACUCCGAUUGCGAAGGCAGCAUACCGGCGCGCAACUGACGCUCAUGCACGAAAGCGUGGGUAUCGAACAGGAUUAGAUACCCUUGUAA
This 466-nucleotide ribosomal RNA is filed under the name uncultured bacterium. RNAcentral describes it as "bacterial SSU rRNA". It matches the Rfam family "Bacterial small subunit ribosomal RNA", at positions 329 to 793 of the family's 1533-position model. The record is from RNAcentral.